AUUGAACGCUGGCGGCAGGCCUAACACAUGCAAGUCGAGCGAGCGGCGGACGGGUGAGUAAUGUAUGGGGAUCUGCCCGAUAGAGGGGGAUAACUACUGGAAAAGGUAGCUAAUACCGCAUACUAUCGGAUGAACCCAUAUGGGAUUAGCUAGUAGGUGGGGUAAAGGCUCACCUAGGCGACGAUCUCUAGCUGUGCUGAGAGGAUGAUCAGCAACACUGGGACUGAGAAACGGCCCAGACUCAUACGGGAGGCAGCAGUGGGGAAUAUUGCACAAUGGGCGCAAGCCUGAUGCAGCCAUGCCGCGGGUAUGAAGAAGACCUUCGGGUUGUAAAGCACUUUCAGCGAGGAGGCGUUACUCGCAGAAGAAGCACCGGCUAACUCCGUGCCAGCAGCCGCGGUAAUUC
RNAcentral lists this ribosomal RNA (406 nucleotides) under uncultured bacterium. RNAcentral's name for it is "partial 16S ribosomal RNA". It matches the Rfam family "Bacterial small subunit ribosomal RNA", at positions 30 to 526 of the family's 1533-position model. The record is from RNAcentral.